GUGGGUACAGCCGAAGGAGCCAUCCGGCCUGCUGCUGGAGGCAAAGGGGACUCACCGAGACGUGGUCGUAAGUCGACUUCACGGCUGAGCCUGACUCUGGAAUGGCUGGCUCCAGAAAUGAGUGGGGUCACUGGGGACCUCAGCUUGGUGUCCCCAUAUUCCUGCAUGAGGAAGAUGGCCAGAGGAUAGGGGAGGAGGACAAGGCAAUGCUUCUGGAAAUUUAAGACGCCAAGUUCCAGCCCCGGUGCCUCCCUCUCCAAUGUUGUCCUGGUCACCUCUGGAGGCGGGACCCGGCAGCUCUGAGGAGCCCCCUGGUGGCCCAAGCAGUUGCUGCGGCCACACAGGCCAAGGCGCGCUCUCUCCUGGGCAUCCACAGACAUAGGACCUUUCUCAGGGCCCCAGACCUUGUGCCAGGCACUUCGCUGGGUGCCACCAGGGAAACAUCAUCUUCCAACAGCCCUGUGAGGUGGGCGUUACCCCGAUUUAUAGAUGUGAACGCCUGGAGGGGCCUGUCCUGUAUCAUCAGGCUGCUGCUGCAAAUCCACUGUUGGGGAAAGAAGCCAGAGGCAGAGCAUGAACAACAAUGACAUGAAGGCGUAUUUAUUUUUCAAAUAAUGAUCGAGCACGCUGGUGCAUGCACAAACUCUGGAGGACCAUGCAAGUACCUGGCAUGGCCAGGGGCUUCUGGAAGGAGAGCUGGGGGGCUGGGGUAUAGAGUGGGAACAAACCAUUUUCACUGGGCUUAGUUUUGUGCUUUUUGAUUUUUGAACUAUAUAGAAGUAUUGCCUAUACUUAAAAAUUCAUGAAAGACGUAAACAUUUGUGGAUAUUGAAUGACAGGAAGAAACUUGGAAGUGACUGACUCUUCCCCCAGGUCCAGCAGCAUGGACAGGAAGCUGCUCAGCAACUACUUGCAUGCCUCCAGUGAUGGGCUGCUUACCCCUUACUUGGCCAACUCCCAGUCUGGAAAGAUCCUCUCUCCAUGGGCUGAAACUUCUCUUCCUGGUCAAAACUCCUUCUUCCGGGAUGACUUUUGGGUGCUGCCCAGUUCAUGCAAACAGUAGAAUGCCCAGCAUGUGUCAGACGCUGUACCCCGGGGGUUCAACAGCCAGGAUCCCUGCCCUCAGAGGUGAGUCUAUUAGGGACUAGAGAACGAAACUUCUAUUACGGAUGCUUGCUGUGUCUGAAACUAACAUAGCUACUUGGGUUUCUUUGGAUUUUUUUUUUAAGAUUUUAUUUAUUUAUUAUUAUUUAAGAUUUUAUUUAUUCAUUCUUGAGAGACAGAGAGAGAGAGGCAGAGACAUAGGCAGAGGGAGAAGCAGGCUCCAUGCA
RNAcentral lists this long non-coding RNA (1331 nucleotides) under Canis lupus familiaris (dog). RNAcentral's name for it is "lncRNA (ENSCAFG00845003969.1)". Lineage: Eukaryota; Metazoa; Chordata; Mammalia; Carnivora; Canidae. The record is from RNAcentral.